Molecule: small RNA, 30 nt
Filed under: Arabidopsis thaliana (thale cress)
Lineage: Eukaryota; Viridiplantae; Streptophyta; Magnoliopsida; Brassicales; Brassicaceae
Description: ATSL046800
Source: RNAcentral
CGGAUUCCGGUGGCGGCGAUGAGAUCGUGG